This is a non-coding RNA of Elaeis guineensis (African oil palm), 894 nucleotides long. The record is from RefSeq and is a predicted model, not a curated record. NCBI's taxonomy places the organism in Eukaryota, Viridiplantae, Streptophyta, Magnoliopsida, Arecales, Arecaceae.
CCAACCCAAACCAAACCAACUCCCCAUUCUUCCUCUAUAUAUCUCCUCUCCCCAUCGCCUCCUUUCCCCCAUAGCCUCCUCUUUUGAGGCCAGCAGUUGCCUCUCUUCUCUACUUCUAGCCUAUUCCCACCUCUCUCAGGCCGGCGCUUUGAUGGUAUGUGGUGCACCACAAGCAGCUGAAGCUGCCAGCAUGAUCUGAUCUCUUUUUCUUUCCUCUAGAUCUUGGAUGAGCAUACAUAUCAGAUCAUGUUGCAGUUUCAUCUGCUGAUGGGAGCACCAGGAAACCCUACAACCCUACUCCUUUCAUCACCCUAGAUCUCUCUCCUCAGAUUUCUUGAGAAACCCUAGAGGGAUAGCAAAAUGGAGUGGAGACGUGUGAAAGAAGAGAAGACAGCAGGAGGGAGAUUUCUUAAGUUUCUCGCACAUGGUUACUGCUUUUGACAUCCUGGCCUGGGGGGGGUGAACCUUGAUAUCCUUCCCUUUUCAAUUCGCAAUCCAUCAAACGAAGAAUCAGGAGCUUAAGCUGGAGUAGAUUCACAAAUAAGGGAUACAAAAGGCAGGAGCUAAGAGCUAAGGUGGUAAAAGCAGGGCAGAAGAGCCCAGGCUGGUUGACAACAUCAACUAACUCCAGCAUCUGGCGUGCUCAUGGGACCAGUGUACUGCUUUGCCGAAGACGGAGAGAGAGAAGGAACAACCUCUAAUGUUCCACACACGCAAUUCUCUCACCAUGAGCUAACAUGUAGCACAUGAAGAGCUCCUCCAGUUCACAGAAGGUAUGGCUUUGUAUAUAUUGAUGUCAUAUUUCAACAUAGCUUAUCUUCAAGCGAAUUGCCUUUGUGGGAUAUGAAACAUCAGUAAGCAUAUUAUCUUUAAAGUAAUGCAUUUUUUUUGGAA